This is a long non-coding RNA of Drosophila montana, 1261 nucleotides long. RefSeq lists it as uncharacterized. NCBI's taxonomy places the organism in Eukaryota, Metazoa, Arthropoda, Insecta, Diptera, Drosophilidae. The record is from RefSeq and is a predicted model, not a curated record. The transcript is spliced from 3 exons.
GGUCACAAAUCAAGAAGGUUGCCGGUUCGAAUCCUUGUGCAGUGGAAAUUCCUAGCCAAAGGCCUCAGAAGCUGAAGCUUAUGUUAGCUUAAGUCAAGAAUCACGCGGCCAUCUCUAGAGCUCGGUUUCUGCAGUCGUUUGGGAAGCGCUGGCCAAAAAGUUUGACAAGCGCAACAGAGGGGGACGAGGGGCAGAGCAGCAAAAGCUGCGACACCACAAAACCCAAAGCGAGACCAACCUUGAGGCAGCCGCCAUGUGCUAAAAAUAACAAUCAGCAAUGUCCCCAAGGAUUUGAAAUGGAGCAGCAGCCGGGCAGCCGGGCAGAGCGUCAGACUCUGUCGCUCCUGGAAUAAUAUGAAUUACAAUGUGCUUGGCAGCGCGUCAUCAUCCGCUUGGCCAGGAAUUGCACGGAUGAAGUUUCCCCCUUCAGGCAAUUGGUCAAGUAUAGAAUCAUAUCUCGAGCAUAUCUUCUUCCUUGAUAGAAUUUAUCCAUUAACCCGCAUAAUUCGCAUUAUAGAUUUAUGCUUUGCCCGGAACAUUUUGGGCAGCCGGAAACGGAAAUGGACUGAAAGCUUCCUUUUGCUGCAUUCCAGUCCAAAGCCGACGAAUUGAGUUGCAAUCGAAUCACAAUGUGCAUUUGACAGCCAAAAAGAGCCUUUGGCCUAUAAUCAGGAGCAAGCGCUGAUAAUUGCACGGUCAAUGAACCUGACUGGCGGUUGGAUAGGGGUUGUGGGGGGGAGGGUAAUUAAGCUCCCCACACCCUUCCCACUGCUGCUAUGUGAUCCAAUAGGGCGUGAAAUUUGAAAGCUUUGCGUGGCAAAUUCAUGUGUGCAAAAUUGCAGAGCUGUGCAGAAAGAAGAGGAAGCUGGUCGGUCAAGGGGUUGUGGAUGAUGAGAAGUAGGAAGGGGGAGGGGAGGGGGGAGGGGGGCUAAUAAAACUCAUUGCAUGCCACGUUGCACAUUUUCAUAGGUAUUUCGUGUCCAUUCGUUCGCCCCGCUUGCGUUUGACCCCUGGGUUCAGCUUGUGGCUCACGUUUAUGGCAAAAAUUUCAUUUCCUGCCAAACCAAAAAAUGAUUUACAUAAAAAUGAGAUUUGGCCCCAAAAACAGGUAAAUGUUGUAAAUUUUAAAAAUCAGAAUUUGAGAAAAAACCUUUACGGCUAUAUACAUUUUCUUCUUUCGAGUGGAAGAAAAUAAUUUUCUAUAUACAUAUCAAUUAAUCUUUUAUCUAAAAAAAUGUUAAGGUUAAUAAACAUAAAUAAA